Long non-coding RNA from Salvia splendens (bonfire salvia), 567 nucleotides. RefSeq lists it as uncharacterized. The transcript is spliced from 2 exons. The record is from RefSeq and is a predicted model, not a curated record. Lineage: Eukaryota; Viridiplantae; Streptophyta; Magnoliopsida; Lamiales; Lamiaceae.
UCUCCCCCAAUUUCCCAAAAUGCACAACCUCUCUCUCUCCCCUCUCUCUUUCUUCGCCGAUCCACCGCCUUGCUAGCGGCGGCCGCUCCGGCGACGCUCCUCUCUUCCUCUCUCCCUUCUCUCCCUUUCUCCCUCUUCUCUCUUCUCUCAGCCUCGCCGUCGUCGUGCCGCCACCGCCUCUGCGGAUCUGCCGUCGCCGAGAUCCUCCCAUUCCCAGCCGCCGACGCCGAGAACCUUCCCUUCCCAGCCGCCGACGCCGAUUCCCGUCAGAUCUUUAAGGAAUGAAAGCAGUGGCUUUCGGAGCGUUGGUCGUCGAUUGUCGGCGACGGAGUGCGGAGCCGGCAGAUUCUUAAGUGUUUGUCAUUUAUUCUAGUUAUUGAGGCAAUAGGAUUCUACUUGGUUUAUAUCUACUGAUUUUGAUGAUCUAUGUGUAUGUAUUGCUAUGUGGAUGAUCAAAUAGGAAAAUACAGUACUUUUGUAAUUUGUUGGGGAUGGCAGAUUCUAAUUUCAACAUAUAUGCAUGCUUAUACAUGUAUGAAAGAAAGGAAAAGUUUGUUGUUUACCUUA